This 84-nucleotide transfer RNA is filed under the name Mayetiola destructor (Hessian fly). Its description in RNAcentral is "tRNA-Ile". The record is from RNAcentral. Lineage: Eukaryota; Metazoa; Arthropoda; Insecta; Diptera; Cecidomyiidae.
AAAUAUAUACUUAUGACUGAUAAAAGUAAUAAAUUGAUAAUUUAUAUAUAUAUAUAUUUAUUAAUUCGAAGUUAAAUUUAUUCA